CCCUACUGCUAUCGGGGUGGGACUAAGACAUGCUAGUCGAGCGCCUUGAGCUAUGGCGAGGCGCGGCGUACAGCUCAGUAACACGUGGCUAACCUACCCUUAGGACGGAGACAACCCCGGGAAACUGGGGCUAAUAUCUGAUAGGUGAGGAGGCCUGGAAUGGUUCUUCGCUGAAAAGGCGUUGAAACCAUGCUUUUCAGCGUCGCCUAAGGAUGGGGCCGCGUCCGAUCAGGUUGUUGGUGGGGUAACGGCUCACCAAGCCUAUAACCGGUACGGGCCGUGAGAGCGGGAGCCCGGAGAUGGGCACUGAGACAAGGGCCCAGGCCCUACGGGGCGCAGCAGUCGCGAAAACUCCGCAAUGCGCGAAAGCGUGACGGGGCUACCCCGAGUGCCGUCCGCUGAGGAUGGCUUUUCCCCGGUGUAAUGAGCCGGGGGAAUAAGGAGAGGGCAAGUCUGGUGUCAGCCGCCGCGGUAAUACCAGCUCUCCGAGUGGUAGGGACGAUUAUUGGGCUUAAAGCGUCCGUAGCCGGCUUAGCAAGUCUCCUGUUAAAUUCAGCGACCUAAUCGUUGAGCCGCGGGAGAUACUACUAGGCUAGGAGGCGGGAGAGGCCGACGGUAUUCUCGGGGUAGGGGUGAAAUCCUAUAAUCCCGGGAGGACCACCAGUGGCGAAGGCUGUCGGCUAGAACGCGCUCGACGGUGAGGGACGAAAGCUGGGGGAGCGAACCGGAUUAGAUACCCGGGUAGUCCCAGCUGUAAACGAUGCGGGCUAGGUGUUGGGGUGGCUACGAGCCACUUCAGUGCCGCAGGGAAGCCAUUAAGCCCGCCGCCUGGGGAGUACGGCCGCAAGGCUGAAACUUAAAGGAAUUGGCGGGGGAGCACCACAAGGCGUGAAGCUUGCGGUUC
RNAcentral lists this ribosomal RNA (904 nucleotides) under uncultured archaeon. Its description in RNAcentral is "bacterial SSU rRNA". It matches the Rfam family "Archaeal small subunit ribosomal RNA", at positions 21 to 903 of the family's 1478-position model. The record is from RNAcentral.